UACGGGGGGGGCAAGCGUUGUUCGGAAUUACUGGGCGUAAAGGGCUCGUAGGCGGCCAACUAAGUCAGACGUGAAAUCCCUCGGCUUAACCGGGGAACCGCAUCUGAUACUGGAUGGCUUGAGUUCGGGAGAGGGAUGCGGAAUUCCAGGUGUAGCGGUGAAAUGCGUAGAUAUCUGGAGGAACACCGGUGGCGAAGGCGGCAUCCUGGACCGACACUGACGCUGAGGAGCGAAAGCCAGGGGAGCAAACGGG
This 253-nucleotide ribosomal RNA is filed under the name uncultured bacterium. RNAcentral describes it as "partial 16S ribosomal RNA". It matches the Rfam family "Bacterial small subunit ribosomal RNA", at positions 524 to 776 of the family's 1533-position model. The record is from RNAcentral.